AUGACGAAGCUAUGGACAACACAUCACCAUAACCACAUUGAUGGUCCAAGCCCCAGUUCCAGUCUUGGCGCGAGGGUGCCGGUCUCAAUGAUGCUCCUCCUCUCCUUUCCUUGGCUGGUAGCGGCCUGUGCUGCACUUCUUACCCCGAGCGCCGUCCUCACCACACCUUGGCCUUGGCCUCGCCUCCUCUUCCUACAGAUAGAUCUAGCGAACUUUGGUGGGCAACUAUUUUGCCAGGCAGAUGCUUUCCUCUGCUCGGUCAAUUAUGUGUCAGUCCCAAGUACAGUUGAUCAGCGGCCGCACAACAUUGAAAUUGGUCAGAGAAGCUUAGGGAUCAAGGGAUGGCCUUCCUUGUCGGCGGUGGAUCAGAUGCAAACUGGAGCCGGCGACCAGCCCUUCUUCCUCGCCCUCAGCCUUGACACCACCGCUGACGCCUCCAGGAGCAGUCGGGCAUUAGCGGCGACGCCGGCAAGGCAACAUGCGUUGCAAUAUGCAAGCAAAUCAAAUAUUCAACCAUGUGGUUUACUAUUAUGCAGUGUGAAAAACGGUGUAAAUAAGUUAUCUGGGACUAAUACUAUAGCCUGCUUUUGA
Molecule: ribosomal RNA, 591 nt
Filed under: Triticum aestivum (bread wheat)
Lineage: Eukaryota; Viridiplantae; Streptophyta; Magnoliopsida; Poales; Poaceae
Description: partial small subunit ribosomal RNA
Source: RNAcentral